RNAcentral lists this transfer RNA (78 nucleotides) under Natranaerobius trueperi. RNAcentral describes it as "tRNA-Arg". It matches the Rfam family "tRNA". Rfam says of the family: Transfer RNA (tRNA) molecules are approximately 80 nucleotides in length. Their secondary structure includes four short double-helical elements and three loops (D, anti-codon, and T loops). The record is from RNAcentral. Lineage: Bacteria; Bacillati; Bacillota; Clostridia; Natranaerobiales; Natranaerobiaceae.
GCGCCCGUAGCUCAGUCCGGAUAGAGUAGCUGACUACGAAUCAGAAGGUCGGAGGUUCGAAUCCUCCCGGGCGCGCCA